UACGUAGGGGGCAAGCGUUGUCCGGAUUUAUUGGGCGUAAAGAGCGCGUAGGCGGCCAGGUAGGUCCGUUGUGAAAACUCGAGGCUCAACCUCGAGACGCCGAUGGAAACCCCCUGGCUAGAGUCCGGAAGAGGAGAGUGGAAUUCCUGGUGUAGCGGUGAAAUGCGCAGAUAUCAGGAAGAACACCAGUGGCUAAGGCGGCUCUCUAGUACGGUACUGACGCUGAGACGCGAAAGCGUGGGGAGCGAACAGG
RNAcentral lists this ribosomal RNA (253 nucleotides) under uncultured bacterium. RNAcentral's name for it is "partial 16S ribosomal RNA". It matches the Rfam family "Bacterial small subunit ribosomal RNA", at positions 524 to 776 of the family's 1533-position model. The record is from RNAcentral.